AAUACACAAAAAAAGGGAGAGGGAGAAACAUGAAGACCAGAGGCAAAAAGGAAAGGAGAGACAAGAGGGAAGUGAGAAUUCAGGAAAAGAAGAGAAGGAGAAGAUGGAGAAGAAGGAGGAUGAGAAAGUCAAAGAGCCACAGACGAGAGACGAAAGGAACACAGAUAUGAUGCGGAAAAUUGAGGAGGAGACCUCCCAGCUGUGGAAGUCCAUGGGACUAUCCUUUGAAGACACUGAGGAUGGAUCAGAAGAAGACUGGAAGGAAAGUGAGGAGGCCAGUGUAGACCUAGACUUGCUCUUCCUGAAGGACAAUGGAAAUACCGAAAUAGAUAGAGGAAAAGAAAGGAGAUUGGAAGAGGAGAACAAAUCAAGACAGCUAGAAGUGGAGAGACAGAGAGAAAUGAAAACUGUGAGACUGAAAGAAGAGGAGAGCAAGAGGAAAGCCAUGAUGGAAAAACUGAAAGAGGAUGAAGGGAGGACGAGAGGGAUGGAAGCAGAAAUGGAGAGAAAGGAACAGGAGGAGAGGCUAAGUGAAAAGGAAAGGGCCAACCUAAGAGAAGAGGAGAGAAAGAAAAAAGAGAUGCAAGAGAAGACAAGGAGAGAGCUGGAGCAGAUAACACAAAGAGAGAGGGAGGAGAAGGGGAAGAAAGCCAAAGUGGCCAAGAAAUUAAUCCAGGCACGUGACAGCGAUGACAUUGACGU
This is a long non-coding RNA of Clupea harengus (Atlantic herring), 702 nucleotides long. Lineage: Eukaryota; Metazoa; Chordata; Actinopteri; Clupeiformes; Clupeidae. The record is from Ensembl.